UUUUUUUAUGACAUAUCUUACUUUUUUAUGGUAAUUGCAUAUGCUGUAGAUAGUUUUUAAAUCAUCGUAAUAAGAUAGGAUUAAAUAUCAAUAAUGUAAUAGAAGAUAAAAAAAAUUAAUCAAAAAUAAAAUUUAAAAAUACAAUCAAACAUGAACUUUGUGAGAGAUGGGCUUCAAUCAUUUUCUAUUCUGGGCCGAAAAUAAUCCGAUUUGUUAAACUGCACAUGGGCUCAAGUUGAAUUGGCCUGUUCUUGUGGGCUGGGUGUUGCGUUUUCUGUUCUAAGUUUUUUUUUUUAAAAAGGCUUUUUUUUUUCUGUUUGGGCAGCUUCUUUCACGUUAGUGUUAUACAGAGCCCAUAUAAAAUGUUUUUGGAAACAAAAGAAGUUGGAAUCUUCGUCUUUGAAAGUGUUCUUUGUGAUCUUCUUUUGCUUUCACUAGUAUACAAUAAGAAAGCACCAGUUAGAAACGUAUCAAGUGAUAAAAACACCUUACAAACUCAAAUUGCUUAAUUUUCACAAACAAUUCUUAGUUACAUAUCCUACACAUAUCGUAAGUUAGUUAAGAAAAAAAAAAACACUGGUAGUACCAAAUGUUUUUAAGAUGUUAUUGUUUGUUGACAUUUUUAGUUAGACUUUACAUCAUUGUUGAUUCGUGGAGCCGAAACAUUUCAGACUACUGGACCGGACUGUACAGUGAAAGACAAGUGUAAUAAAUUAAAGUUUCGUUUAUUGGUUUCUUGGUUCCUUUGUAUAUAUCAAUCGGGACAAAUUUACAAACUAAAAAUAACUCACAUGCAUUCGUUUCCAAAAAGCUAGAAUAGGAAAAAAACACAAAUGAAUUAAUAAUAACCAGAAAAAAGUAAGCUAAUAAUAUUCAUUACGCAAGCGAAAGAGACACAACACCAGUUUCAGUGGCAAGCUGGUCCUUGUAUUAAUUUCCACAUUAUCUUGUAUUAUUAUAUUUAUUAGUAUCAUUGUAUCAAGUUCUCUCAAUAGAAAGAAGAAGAGAUACUUUCUCAAUUCUCUCUAAUGGCUCUAAUAACCUUACUUGAAGUCUCAGUUUCUUUCUUUUUUAUCUCCUUCCUUUUCGGGUAUUUCUUGAUUAGCAAGAAACCUCAUCCUUCGUUUCUCACAAACUGGCCAUUACUCGGCAUGCUUCCAGGUUUACUCGUGGAGAUCCCUCGUGUUUACGACUAUGUAACUGAGCUUCUCGAGGCCUCAAACUUAACUUAUCCUUUGAAAGGUCCAUGUUUCGGGGGACUAGACAUGUUGGUCACCAUUGAUCCUGCCAAUAUCCAUUACAUCAUGAGCUCAAACUUCGAGAAUUACCCGAAAGGAUCCGAGUUCAAGAAGAUAUUCGAUGUUUUGGGAGACGGAAUUUUCAACGCGGAUUCGGAGCUAUGGAAAGAUCUGAGGAAAUCGACUCAAAGCAUGAUGAGUCAUCAUGAUUUUCAAAGGUUUACGCUAAGAACAAGCAUGAGUAAGCUAGAGAAAGGGCUUGUCCCACUUCUUGAUUACGUUGCUGAGAAGAAACUAGUCAUUGACUUACAAGAUGUGUUUCAAAGAUUUACUUUCGACACUUCGUUUGUUUUAGCUACCGGGGUUGAUCCAGGUUGUCUCUCCAUCGAUUUGCCGGAUAUCGAGUUUGCUAGAGCUUUAAACGAAGCAGAGGAAGCAAUAUUCUUCAGACAUGUCAAGCCGGAGAUGGUUUGGAAGAUGCAAAGAUGGAUUGGGAUUGGAGAUGAGUUGAAGAUGAAAAAAGCUCACUCCACUUUCGACAGAGUUUGCUCUAAGUGCAUAGCUUCUAAGAGAGAUGAAAUAACCCGAGGGGUUAUUAACAUCGACUCUUCUUCUAAAGAUUUGUUGAUGUCUUACAUCAAUGUGGAUACGACAAAGUACAAGUUGUUGAAUCCUAGUGAUGAAAAGUUCCUUAGAGACAUGAUUUUAAGCUUCAUGUUAGCUGGUAGAGACACUACUGGAUCUGCUCUCACUUGGUUCUUCUGGCUACUCUCCAAGAACCCAAAAGCCAUAAUCAAGAUUCGUCAAGAAAUCAACACAAAACUUACUCCAAGAACCAAUGGUUCUAAAUUUGAUUCAUUCAACCCCCAAGAGUUAAACAAGUUGGUGUAUUUACAUGGCGCGUUGUAUGAAUCCCUCAGGCUAUAUCCCCCGGUUCCAUUUCAGCACAAGUCUCCAACUAAACCAGACGUUCUUCCGAGCGGACACAAGGUUGAUGCGAGUUCAAAGAUUGUGUUCUGUCUUUACUCAUUAGGGAGAAUGAAAUCAGUUUGGGGAGAAGAUGCAUCAGAGUUUAAACCGGAGAGAUGGGUAUCCGAGAGUGGAAGGUUGAUCCAUGUGCCUUCUUUUAAGUUCUUAUCAUUCAAUGCCGGUCCAAGGACUUGUUUGGGGAAAGAAGUGGCUAUGACACAGAUGAAGACAGUGGCUGUAAAAAUCAUACAAAACUAUGAGAUAAAGGUUGUUGAAGGACACAAAGUCGAGCCAGUGCCAUCUAUUAUUCUUCACAUGAAGCAUGGUCUUAAAGUUACAGUCACUAAGAGAUGUAAUUUGGUCUGAAUAAUUUUGCAUUACUUGUGGACUCUAUGGUAUGGAAAUAAGUAAUAAAAGUUUGCUAAGAGCUUGUCCUGGGAUUGGCCUAGCGAAUCGGUUAGCUACUGUCCAUAACAUUCUUGAUGAUUUUGCUUAAGUUCUUGAGUAUGUACUCGAGAGUUUGUUUAGAAUUGCUAUGUAGUUCUAGUUUUUCUAAAUAAAACUUAAAAUAGAUUAAAUAAAUAUUCAACAUUAAAAUGAUUUGUUAUCACACAGAGUCAUUGAACAAAUCAUACAAAGCAAUCUGAACAAAAAAGAUUAUCCUGUCCAAAAAAAAAAAAAAUCAAACAGACAAACAUAUAAUACAAAUGUUUAAAUUUUAAUAUCUCAAAUGUUUUUUUUCUGCGACUAGGUCAGUUUCAGAGAACCAUAGGUAAAAAAGUUUAGAGAAUGAUUGUUUCAUGGGACAAAAGAAGAAGACUUGAAAAGUCAACUAUGGUCUUCUUCUUCUCUCUUUUAUGUCACACCAAUGAUUUCAAUUCUCUAUCUCUCCUUCAAUCUCAUCUUCUUCAUCAACCCUCUUCACAUAGACCACACAUGUUUCUUCAUCCAUUGACCUCAAAUACUUGACUUUUCUUUCUCGCUCUUUCUCUCCAUCGGAGCUAUGGAGAAUCUCUGUUUUGGAGAGACUGUUUCUCUCUUUGUAACUGUUAUGGUUAUUGUUCUUCUUCCUCGUCUCACUCUCUCUCAAACUGCAGCGUAUACUCGACCCGCGAAGUUUUAUGUUAACUGUGGGUCGGAUUCUAAUGCUGAUCAUGGUAAAGUAACCUUCGUUGGAGAUAUGAACUCUAGUAAUAAUUCUGUUACCUUGAGCGGUAAAGGAAGUGAAGUCAUCAACGAUCAAUCAUCUGGUGAGCCCGUAAUCUACCGGACGGUUAGGAUAUUCAGACGCCCUUCUACUUACAAGUUCCAACUCGAUUCUGUUGGUCUACAUGUUGUGCGUCUCCAUUUCUCUGCUGUGUUUUCUAGGGAAGAUCUUUUAAAUGCUCGUUUCAGUGUCUCUGUUACUUCUGGUUCUAAUCAUCACUUGAAAAGUUUCUCACUUCAGAAUUUUACUGAGACCCCACGAGUUGAAGAGUUUCUCCUGAUGAUCAACUCGCCAGAAUUGGAAAUCCAAUUUGUGCCGGAUAGUUCCUCUUUAGCUCUCGUCAACGCCAUUGAAGUUUUCGCUAUUCCUGAUGAUCUUGAAAUUACAAACGAUCUCGACAAGAAUCUGCAUAUACUUUACAGAUUAAACGUAGGCGGCAUGAAAAUCACACCGGCAAAUGAUACCUUGGGAAGGACUUGGUUGCCUGACUAUGACUUUCUCUUCAAAAAAGAUUCUGCGAGGAACAUUUCAUCAAUACAAAAGCCUAAUUAUGUGUCAGGGUCUCGGUCAGCGACUGAAUUUACUGCUCCUGAUUUCGUCUACCAGACAGCUCAGGCACUAGACCAUAGCUCGAGUCGGGGAGCGGAGGGGAUGUUAAUGAACGUUACGUGGUCAUUUAAGGUCAAAAGUGAUCAUAGACACUUCAUCAGGAUUCACUUCUGUGAUAUUGUGAAGGAUUCACAAAACUCUGAUUUCUAUCUCUAUGUAAACGGGUAUCCGCGAGUAGAUAUAAAGCCUUCAGAGUAUGGUGGGCCAGUGACUCCAUUUUAUAAAGAUGUCGUGACUGUCUCUGAUGGUUUUGGACACUUGAAUAUAAGUAUAGGUAAUAAGGAAUCCAACAAGGAUAUUGUUUUUCUGAAUGGUCUGGAGGUAAUGGAGUUUUUGAGUAAAUCUGAUUCUGAUCCUUCAGAUGGAAACCGUUCUCACAUUUACAUCAUCGCUGGUUGUGUUGCUGCCGCUAUAUUGGCUCUGGUCUUUACUUUGUUGUUUAUAGUAUUCUUGAAGCGAAGGAGACCGAAGAAGACAAAACCAGACGUUGAGGCCACUGUGUGGUCUCCAUUACCAUUAAACAGAGGUGGAAGCUCAGACAACAGACCAAUCUCUCCAUACAACAACUCACCAUUACGCAACUUACACUUAGGCUUGACGAUUCCCUUCAAAGACAUUCUAAGAGCUACAAACAACUUCGACGAGCAGUUAAUGAUCGGGAAAGGCGGGUUUGGAGAUGUCUACAAAGCUAUUCUUCCCGACGGAACCAAAGCCGCAAUCAAAAGAGGCAAGACCGGUUCAGGGCAAGGAAUCCUAGAGUUCCAAACAGAGAUUCAAGUCCUCUCAAGAAUCCGCCACAAACAUCUCGUAGCUCUAACGGGAUACUGCGAAGAGAACGGCGAAAUGAUCCUCGUCUACGAGUUUAUGGAGAAAGGUACGCUUAAAGAGCAUCUAUACGACUCUGACUUGCCUCCAUUGACAUGGAAACAAAGACUAGAAAUCUGCAUUGGAGCAGCUAGAGGAUUGCAUUACCUACACAGCAGUGGAACAGAAGGAGCAAUCAUACACAGAGACGUCAAAUCCACAAACAUACUACUAGACGAGAACACAACAGCUAAAGUCGCCGACUUUGGACUCUCCAAACUCACAAUUCGUAAUCAAGAUCAAACCCAUAUGAGCACAAACAUCAAAGGAACAUUUGGUUACCUCGAUCCAGAGUACCUCUCAACACACAACUUAACCGAGAAAUCAGAUGUUUACGCCUUCGGUGUCGUCCUCCUCGAGGUCCUAUGCGCGAGACCAGCUCUGAAUCCUUACCUCCCACACGAAGAAGUGAAUCUCGCGGAGUGGGCGUUGUACUGCAAAUCAAACGGAGUAAUCGAUGAGAUCGUGGAUCCGAAUCUGAUAGGUCAAAUCGAGAUGAACUCUCUGCUGAAAUUCAUGGAAAUAGCGGAGAAAUGUUUGAGAGAGUAUGGAGAUCAGAGACCGAGUAUGGCGGAUGUGAUUUGGGAUCUGGAGUAUGUUCUUCAGCUUCAGACGAUGACGAUUCGUAGAGAGGCUCAUGAUGAAGAAGAUAGUACGGCGAUUGAUUCAGGUGUGAUCCCGAGGUUGAUGGUGAGUGAUUCGUUUAGUAUGAACUCGUUUGUGGUGAAGGAUGAUGAAUCGAGUCACAGAUUUGGGAAUACGGAUUCGUCGGAGACUCGAGUUUUCUCACAGUUGAAGAUCUCUGAAGCGAGAUGAUGUAAUCAUUUUUUAUAUCGUGUGUGAAAAAUUUAAAUUUGUUAGAAAUGUGAUGUCAUUUUUAUAUCGUUUAAUUAACUAUUUUACUUUUAGCAAUUUUCAGUUAAACAUUAUAACUUAUGAUAACUCAAAAAUUAUUAAAUCGAUGGUAAAAUUGAAAGAAAAAAGAAGAAAAAAAAAAGUAGACUGAAAAAAAUAUGGAAAACUUGACAAUUUUAAGAAUCAUUCAAAAAUUAUCCUUUGACAAUUUUGGAAAAAACUUUCGGAGGAAAAAGAAUAUUGUUAAAGACCGUAUAAAAUAUAGUAUCUAAAUAUAUGUCAUUAAUUAUUUUCUAAUAAAUUUUUUAACAUUAACAUUAGGCGUUAAAAAAAAAAAAACCAUAUUAAGUAGUGCAAAUGGUAGAGCAACAAAGCACAUAGUAGAAAAAUGUAGACCAAGUGUGUAUGUUAGAGAAUUUCAAUCUCGUGCUAUUGGCAAAGCAAUUAGAGUACUUCUAAACAUGGGUGUUUAUUAUUAACUAUGUAUACAAAUAUUAUUAUUUAAUUUGAUGAGUUGUUUAUUUAGCGAAGAAUUUUUCAAAAUUUGAUGACAAAAAAAUUUUUUCAAAAAUUUCUUAAAUCUCUUGUUUAAGCAACUUUGAAUAUAUGUUUUACCUAUUUAAGCAACUCACAUAAUUUUGUAUUAAUAAUUUUGUUCUCUCUAAAAUAAGCAACUUGAGUUAACAACCACCAAUAGAGGUGGUUUUCUUAGAACGCCUAUUUACCACGAGCUUUGCUUUGUGGUAUAUUUCUUGACAUUUUAAAUUCUCUAGUCAUCUAUAAAUCCAAAUAUAAAACAUGUUCUUGUAUGGUUAGCUGAGUAUGUUGGCAAAAAAAAAAGAGUGCUUACCAUUGGUCAUCAAUAUUUCUCAAAUUUUGUUAUGAAUUGCUUAAGUUAACAAAAAGCAAAUUUUAUUAUAAAAAUUUUGGUAAGCAUUGGAAGUGCUUACCAUUGGAGAGGUGCUCUAAGUGUUUACUUUGGAGACGAUUUUGGUCACGUCACAUUACGAUCGAAAAACUUGAAAAAUCCAAAAAAUUUGAACCCGCUAAAUAUGCAAGCAAGUACAAAACGUUUCUGCUAGGCUAGUCAUAGCUCUCAUCGUUUUAUCCGUCAGAUUCUCAAUUUCUAAUCUCUCAAAAAAUUUGUUUUGUGUUGCUUCCACAACUUAGCUGAAUUCAUGUGGCUUUGCUACACGUGUUUGUUUGCAUGAGACGUGAACAUAUCUUUAGUGACGGGUGGGGAAAGUUCUAUGAAAAACAUAUUUUUAUUUUUGCAUGAUCUUUGCUUUCUCGCUUACGUUAUAAACUAAGCUACAACUUUUAAACUCCUUCAGUUUUCAUUUCCACACAAACAAAUUCGUAGAUCUAAACAAUGGAAACACAUUACCUACUUUUAUCUCUUGCCUUCUUCGUUUUCAUUACUUUUAAGCUUUGGUUUAGUAAACAACAUAGCAAGUUUAACCUACCACCAAGUCCGGGUAGGCUAAUGCCAUUGAUAGGACACCUACACCUCCUGAAGAUGCCUCUUCACCGCACCUUCCUCUCUUUCUCUCAAUCCUUAGGUGACGCCCCAAUCUUCUGCCUCCGCCUCGGAAACCGUCUCACGGUUGUCGUCUCUUCCUACGACGUCGCUGAAGAAUGUUUUACUAAAAACGACAUUGUUUUGGCCAAUAGGCCAGACUUAAUUCUCGGUAAACAUAUUGAGUACAACUCCACCACUAUGACUAGUGCGCCUUAUGGUGACCACUGGAGAAACCUGCGCCGCAUCGCGACCUUGGAGAUUUUCGCGUCGCAUAAGCUUAACGGUUUCUUAUCUGUCCGUAAAGAUGAGAUCCGACACUUGUUACUACGUCUCUCCAAAAACUCGCAACAUGUAUGUGACCUUCUACAUAUAUUUAACAUUAUUAUAACCUAUUUAUUUGUAGUAUUGCCACUUUAUCACUGCAUGCAUGGGUCUAAACCUGGCAAUGUGCGUGCAUGUGAUCAAAUUUGAGAGUUGAUCAUUUUUUUUAUGCAUGUGAAUAUGAUUAGGGGUUUGCGAAGGCGGAUGAGACAUUUGCUAUUUGAGUUGACUAUAAAUAACGUGUUUAGAAUGGUAGCCGGGAAACGAUUUUAUGGUGAGGGCACUGAGCAAGACGACGUUGCGAAGGAAGUGAGAAAGCUUAUGGAUGAGACUGUGUCCGUAGCUGGAGCCGGGAAUGCAGCUGAUUACUUACCAAUCUUGCGUUGGAUCACAAAUUUUGAGAAACGCAUCAAGAGGUUAGCGACUCGGCUCGAUAAGUUCUUGCAGAGUCUAGUGGAUGAGAAACGUGCGGUUAAAGAAGAGGGUAACACAAUGAUUGAUCACUUGCUUUCUCUCCAAGAAACUCAGCCUGAUUAUUAUACAGACGUCACUCUUAAAGGAAUCAUAGUUGUAAGUAUUGACUAAGCCUAAUAUUAUAUAAUCAAGCUUUAUAGUGUGGCUGAGAAUGAAUUUGAAUGUUACAGGUUAUGAUAAUUGCUGGAUCUGAGACUAUAGCAUGGACUUUAGAAUGGGCGAUGAUGAAUUUGUUGAACCAUCCAGAAGUAUUAAAGAAAGCUAGGACCGAAAUCGAUUCGAAAAUCGGUUUCGACCGGUUAAUAGAUGAAUCGGAUACUACAAAUCUCCCUUAUCUCCAACGUAUCGUGUUGGAGACUCUACGUCUUCACCCGGCAGCUCCAACAAAUGUUCCACAUAUGACCUCAGAUGAUUGCAAGUUGGGAGGAUACGUUUGUUCGGAUUCUUUUCUUUUUCGAAUGAGGCUAGUGGAGACAAAUUCCUUCCGACGUUCCACGUGGUACGAUGUUAUUGGUGAACAUAUGGGCCAUACAUAGAGACCCGUCUAUAUGGGAAGAUCCAGAUAUGUUCAAGCCAGAGAGGUUUGAAAAUGAAAAGCAAAAGCAAAAGUUGUUGUCGUUUGGGAUUGGAAGACGAUCUUGUCCCGGGAAUGGCCUAGCUCAUCGGCUAGUGAGCUUGGCUCUUGGAUCGAUGGUUCAGUGUUUCGAAUGGCAGAGAAUUGGGGAUGAAUAUGUUGACAUUAGAGAAGAAGAAGUCGUGGCCUUGAUGCGUCCAGCGACACCGUUGCUAGCUAUGUGUAAAGCUCGUCCCUUUGUCCAUAAGAUUCUUGAUGCUUAAGUGUAACUUGCCUUUAUUUGUCCUUUGGGAAAAUUAAAAACGAGACAAGACUGUCGUGUACUUUAAAGUUUCAUAUGUACUCUUACAUGUGUUAACACAUGGUUUUUAAGGAUAAGUUCUUUCUUUGGAACACAAUUCUCAUUUUUUGGUGUCAAAUCACAAUACUCGAGUUUUAGAUUGCCGACAUUGUUUUCGUCGACUGGUUAACAUGGCAUCAGAACCAACGAAAUCAAAUAAACCAGAGUCAGUAAACAUAGUUAGCGAGAUCUGGUGUUUGUAGUGAUGGUGCAUGGUUGGUGACAGUGGGUGGUUUGGUGUUAAAGACAGUGAUGAUGGGUCAUUUACUUAACAAAUAACAACAGAGAAGAAAAAAUAGUUAAGUUAUUCAAGUCAUUUUGCAUGUCUCUCCAUUGGUACAAUAUUGGAAGGUCAUUUAUGUACUAUAAUUUAAUUUUUAUUUCAAGGUUAUUUUGUGUAUCUAUUCUAAUUAUUUAUGUUGAUUUGUAUACUACACGUGUUUGGUUGCAUGAGACGUGAACAUAUCUUUAGUGACUGAUGGGAUAAAUUCCAUGACAAUACCAAACUUUUAACGUCUUUUUUGCAUGCUCUUGUUUACGUUAUAAAUUUAAGCUAUAAACUUAAACUUUUAACUUUAGUGUUCAUUUCAACACAAAACAAAAUUCGUAGUUAUAUCCGUUACUCUAUCUCUGGCUAUAUUGAUUUAUUAUUAAUGUUGAUAUAUUACACUUGUUUGGUUGCAUGAGACGUGAACAUAUCUUUAGUGACGGAUGGGAUAAAUUCCAUGAAAAUGCCAAAAUUUGAACGUCUUUUUUGCAUGAUCUUGUUUACGUUAUAAACUUUAGCUAUAGCUUUUUGAACUUUAGUGUUCAUUUCAACACAAAACAAAUUCGUAGUUAGAUCCGUUACUCUAUAGCUGGCUAUGUUUAUAAUUUCCAUGCAUGUGACAGUACCAAAAUUGUAACGUCUUUUUUUUUUUUUGCAUGCUCUCUCUUAUAUUAUAAACUAAGCUAUAUAUAUAACUUUUUUUUUAACUUUAGUGUUUAUUUCAACACAAACAAAUUCGUAGUUAGAUCAUUUACUCAAUAUAUAGUUAGCUAUAUAAUUUAUUAUUAAUGUUGAUAUCUUACACUUGUUUGGUUGCAUGAGACGAGAACAUAUCUUUAGUGACGGAUGGGAUAAAUUCCAUGAGUCAUGCUUUAAUCAUGGACCAUGAUAAUAUCUUGAAUCAUGGAUGGAUGGACCAUGACAAUACCAAAACUGUAACGUCUUUUUUAUGCAUGUUCUUGCUUACGUUAUAAAUUAAGCUGUAACUUUUAACUCCAGGAUUCAUUUCACACAUAUUCGUCAUGGAAACUCAUUUCCUAGUUUUGUCUCUCGCCUUCUUCGUUUUCAUUGCUCUUAAACUUUUGUAUGGUAAACGAAAGAGCAAAUUUAACCUACCACCAAGUCCGGCUAGGCCACUACCGUUCAUUGGGCACCUUCACCUCCUAAAAAUGCCGCUUCACCGCACACUCCUCUCUCUCUCUCAGUCCCUAGGUGACGCCCCAAUCUUCUCCCUCCGCCCCGGAAACCGUCUCAUGGUUAUCGUCUCUUCCUACGCCAUCGCUGAAGAAUGCUUUACAAAAAACGACAUUGUUUUGGCCAAUAGGCCAGAGUUUAUUGUAAGGAAACAUAUUGAGUACAACUCCACCACUAUGACUAGUGCGCCUUAUGGUGACCACUGGCGAAACCUGCGCCGCAUCUGCACCCUUGAGAUCUUCUCGUCACAUAAGCUCAACGGCUUCUUAUCUGUCCGUCACGAUGAGACCCGACACUUGUUACUACGCCUCUCCAAAAACUCCCAACAUGUAUGUCAGCUUCUACAUAUAUAUCUUAACAUUAUAUAUAUCCAAAUAAGCUAGUAACCUAGGGAUUUGUAGUAUUGUCCACUCUAUCAUGACAUGGGUACGUAGUAGUAUGAAAAUGAAAAUCUGAGAGUUGACCAUUUGUUUAUGUGACUAUAAUCAGGGAUUUGCAAAGGUGGAGAUGAGAAAUUUGCUUUUUGAGUUGACUAUAAAUAACAUUUUUAGAAUGAUAGCCGGGAAACGAUUUUAUGGUGAGGGCACUGAGCAAGACGAGGUUGCUUCGCAAGUGAGAGACCUACUAGACGAGAUUAUGGCUAGUGCUGGCGCCGGGAAUGCAGCUGAUUACUUACCAAUCUUGGGAUGGAUCACAAAUUUUGAGAAACGCAUCAAGAAGUUAGCGAGUCGGCUUGAUAAGUUCUUACAGAGUCUUGUGGAUGAGAAACGUGCUGAUAAAGAAAAGGGUAACACUAUGAUUGAUCACUUGCUUUCUCUCCAAGAAACGCAACCUGAUUAUUACACAGACGUCAUUAUUAAAGGAAUCAUAGUUGUAAGUAUUUAGUAACCCUAAUAAUAUACUAAUCAAUCUUUAUGGUGGUUGAUGAUAACAUUUUGAACUUACAGGUUAUGAUAUUCGCUGGAUCUGAGACAAUAGCAUGGACUUUAGAAUGGGCAAUGUUGAAUUUGUUGAACCAUCAAGAAAUAUUGGAGAAAGCUAGGACCGAAAUCGAUACGAAAGUCGGUUUUGACCGGUUAAUAGAUGAAUCGGAUACUACAAAUCUCCCUUACCUACAACGGAUUGUGUUGGAGACCUUACGGCUUUACCCGGUAGCUCCAACACUUGAUCCACAUAUGACCUCAGAGGAUUGCAUGUUGGCUGGAUACGACGUUCCGCGCGGUACGAUGUUAUUGGUGAACAUAUGGGCCAUGCAUAGAGACCCGUCCAUAUGGGAAGAUCCAGAAAUGUUCAAGCCAGAGAGGUUUGAAGAUGAAAAAGAAAAGCAAAAGUUGUUGGCGUUUGGGGUUGGACGACGAGCUUGUCCAGGGAUUGGCCUAGCGAAUCGGCUAGUGACCUUGGCUCUUGGAUCGAUGGUUCAGUGUUUUGAGUGGGAGAGAGUUGGAGAAGAAUAUGUUGAGAGUAGAGAAGAACCCAUGACCUUGAUGCGUCCGGAGACACCGUUACUAGCCAUGUGUAAAGCUCGCCCCAUUGUACACAAGGUUGUAGUUGGUUAGGGCAUUUUAGUGAAUGAAUUAUCUUAUGAUGUAUGAUAAGUUAAUUCACAUGUUAAUCAUCAAAAAUCAAAAUCGUCGCUUUUAUUAAUAAAAGAUGAAACAAAUUCUCCCAAAACGUCAGUCUUAAUUCUUGUCCAACAUUAUUUUAUUAAACUGUUUCUUAAGAUGAUGCAACUCAUGAUACUAUAAUCUACAUUACUCUAUAUUGCUAAAACUAAUAAUUACCCUUACGUACUCAUGAUGACGACAUUUCGGUCUACAGGUACAGGUUCGAUCGAGAUCAAUUUCAUACAAAAAACUGUGUCUCGACUCUCGAAUGGAACGACACGAUAAACACCAAAUCAAUCAGGGAGAAAACGAAAACAAAUGAUGCAUUACUUGACCGUACAAUUUUUAGUUAUAAGUUAAGGGUUUAAAAAUUUUUUGAUCACACAAAAAUAUAAUCUAAGAAUGUGCGUCAAUCAAAUAACAUUAUAACAAAAAUUGAACAAAUCAUGAAAAAAAUACGAAUUCACAACAGAAAUAUCGUGUCAUGUUUACGUGAUAAAUAUAAUAAUUUUUAUUUUGUUUUUUUUCAAACACUUGAUUCAUUCAUUCAUAAAGCCAAGUACAAAGAGAAGGAUUCAAAGAUUCAUAACAAGAAGAGACAUUCCCCAAUGCCAAACAAAGAUAGAUAAAAAGGAUCGACAAGGAAUCCAAGAGAGCGUGAUAAAUAUAAUUUAAGUUAACUUUUUAUUGUUUUACAUAAAUUUUGUUUUCAAUAACAGAGAGUUUGAAAAGACAUAUUAAAAUCAUUAAUUGAAUAACAAGUGAUUUUAAAAAUAUUUUAAAAUCUUCUAAAAUGUCAAAUUCAAUACACCCCCUAAAAUUGCAAUAAUUAGUUAACGAGGCUAACAUGCUAACUUAAUAUAACUUAAGAGUUUCAUGCUAACUUAAAUUUGCAAUAAUUAGUACCACAUACAUUUCAUAUACUAUAGAUAUAAAAAUUUACUAAAUAUAAUAUACGUUUUCAGUAUAUAAAAAUAUCACAAAUCAUUUAUUUACCAAACAUAGUUUUAUUUGUUAAUUUAUAUAUAGGCAAAAAUUAAUAUAUAUGUACAAAAAAUUUAUAUGUAUACGUACAACAAUCAAACCAUAUCACCCAAUUAAUCUGUAAAUAAUUCACAGUAUAAUAUUAAUUUAUACUUUUGUUAUAACUUUAAUACUUGUGUUGUAAAAGAAAAAAUACAGCCUCGGGAAAAAAAAACGAAAAUAUGAACAAACAAAGAAUCAAGUGAUAAAAGAAAUUUGAAGAUUCAAUUAAAUAUUUUAAUUUUGUUUGGUACUAAAUGUUAUAAAAGUGCUUUUAAAGCUGUAACAAAAAUUGGUGACAAAAAUAAGGUGUAUUUCAAUUUUUUUUUGAAAAAUGGUUCUCUUUCUUUUUACAUUGUUCCCUUUGAAUUUACAGUGGUUCACAUGAACCAUUGUUGCCACGUUCCUUAUGUGUUCUUAUAGCUUAUGAGAAUGUUAGACAAAUGUUUCAUCAGAUGCCAUAUGGAAGAACUCAUGCACAUGCAAUAAAAUGCAAUUCUAUUAAGAGGAUGCAAACAAAGCUAUCAAGUAAGACCAAGCCAAUACAUGGUGAUCAUCAUUACAAAUAGACAUAUCGUUAAAAGCUGCAUAUCUUCCAUAUAUAUGACACUUGUCUUUUAAUCUCUUAUAAGCUUAGCCAUAUAUAAGAUACCAUGUUGGCUUUGUUUCUCACGCCCAAUACCUCCAAGAAUUGAUUGGUGCCGUUAAUUUAGUUGCAACCCAAACAUUAUCAGUUACCAAGUAGAGAAAUUACUCAUUGGUUAGCUAGGCUAAGGAUAUGUGAUGAUAAGUAGAUAGGUAGAGAUAGAUAUCAACAUAGACCAUUUUUGCUCCCCAUGCAUACAUGUGGCGAUUAAAUACUUAUUUAAGUCGAUAAAAACUAAAUACUUAGUUUUUGUGCCCUUGAUUAAUUUACUUUUAAGAAAAUCAUAUAAACAUUGACAAGUUACUCAUCAGCGUCACACUAAUGUGAUCACAAUUUAUAUAUAAUUAUACAACGAUCUAAACAAUUUGACAGAGAUAAUUAACUAAUUCGGAGCAAACUCUCUCGCUUUCCACAUACAUCAUUUGCUCGUAAGCCUACAAGGCAGCUUUGUUUGAAGACUACGGAGUUACUAGAGUAUGACGUUCAGGAAAGUAAACGUACGUUUAAGAAGUUGCCACCUUCUGAAUGGGGUGAUCAUUUCCUUCGUCUUCCCAUCAAUGUCUCAGUGAGUUCGUUACACAUACAUAUAUAUAUAUAUAUAUAUAUAUACGUUUGUUGCAUGAGAUAUUAAUAAGCUGGAUUCUUAUAGGAGAUGGAUGCGGUUACAAGAGAGAUGAACGCAAUAAAGCCAACAGCAAGGAAGAUGCUCAUGUAUUCACAAGACGUGGAAGAGACAAAGAAGAGAAUUCUUACAAUCUACUUGCUGGUCGCACUUGGUCUCGCAUACCACUUCGAGGAUGAGAUAGAUGAUAAUUUGAAACACAGCUUCGAAAACAUGGAGACCGUUAUGGCCGGUGAAACUGACUUGUCCACAGUUUCGGUCAUAUUUUGGGUUUUCAGGACAUAUGGAUAUAACUUGUCUUCUGGUAAGGAGUAUAUCAAACUGAUGUUCAAUAAUUAUACUACUAUGUCUCCUUUAAUUAAAUUAUAUGCAACAUGGUCUAUUUUGUAAACAGACGUGUUUAAGAGAUUUAAAGGGGAGGAUGGGAAGUUUAAAGAAUGUCUUAAAGAAGAUGCCAAAGGUCUACUAAAUUUGUAUGAAGCCACACAAUUAGGUACGACCACUGACGAUAUUUUGGACGAAGCCAUGAUCUUCGCGUCGAGCCACUUGGAGCGUUUAGUAGGUGGAACGUGCCCGCCUCAUAUCUCAAGGGUUAUACGUAAUGCGCUUUACAUGCCUCAGCACCACAAUGCUGAUAUAUUAUUCGCAAGUGAAUACAUUAGGUUCUAUAAACAAGAAGAUGCUCACAACAAAGUCCUACUCGAGUUGGCUAAGCUCAAUUUCAAGUUCCUUCAACUCCAUUGGAUUAACGAGCUGAAAACUCUAACCAAGUAGACUACUUACUGUAUCAGUCACUUCUAUACAAUUUUUUCAAAGAAUAAUUUAAUUACAAGCUGCCGCGCUAAUACAUGUUUUUGCAGAUGGUGGAAUGACCAAGAUCUUGCAUCUAAGCUCCCACCUUACUUUAGACACAGAGUAGUGGAGUGCCAUUUAUAUGCAGUGAUUAUGUAUUUCGAGCCACAAUAUUCACUAGGCAGAAUCAAAUUGGCUAAGUUAUUGGUGCUCCUGACCGUUACGGAUGACUCUUGUGAUAGAUAUGGUUCUGUUCCUGAAGUUGCAAAGUUUCUUGACUGCAUCGAAAGGUAAUAUGCUAUACAUAUAAUAGCAAGCUUAAUAAAUGUUUUAAUCGAUGAGAGAGCUCCAAUGAAACGACGAAGAAGUAGAAUAAAUUAUUACCAAAAGAGCCUAUAGUUUAACUGGUAAAGAUCUCUGACAAAAGCUUAGAAAUCGCUGGUUCGGUAACUAACAAAAUCUGUUAUUUCUUACUAAGAACUUAUGGAAGAAUGUUUCGGUUUACUUAAUUGUAAAAUACAAUAAUCCUUCUGGUUUUACUUAAACUAUUCAAUAGACCAAUGUCCAAAAGUAUGUACGUGUAUGCAGAUGGGAUCCAGAUCUUGGGGAGAGUCUGCCAGAUUAUCUCAAAACCGUCUUCAAGUUUACUAUGGACGUUUUUGAAGAUUGUGAACGAGCGGGGAAGAGUGAAGAAGGACGAAGCUACAAUGUGGAAGGUGCUUUAGCAGAGGUACAUAAUACAUAUAUUUUCACAUAUUAAUGCAGUUUACAUUACAAUUUACAUUAAUAGAAUGAUACUUAAUAAUGCAGUUCAAGAUACUCCAGCGAUCCCACCUUAACUAUGUUGAGUGGGCAAAGACAGAUAAGGUGCCAACAUUUGAAGAGUAUUUAGAGGUUGGGGGCGUGGGGGUCACAAUGUAUGCAACUAUAGCAUUGGGACUUCUCGGCUUGGGACCGAGUGCUACUAGGGAAGAAGGUUAUGCUUGGCUAAAAUCUAGACCAAAACUCGUUCAUGAUUUGGCAUCAAAGGGUCGUAUAAUGAAUGACAAGACUGGCUUCAAGGUACAUAAUUAUACGAGUCACAUUAUUUCAAAAUCUCUUCUUCUAACUAAGUAAUUAAACAUGAAUGCUAUGAAUAGGAUGACAUGAGCCGAGGUUUUAUCGCAAACGCUGUCAACUAUUAUAUGAAUGAAUUCGGAGCUACUGAAGAGGAAACAUAUAAGGCGUUUCAUAAAAUGGUUAGAGACCUGGAGAAGUCGGUGAACACAGAGCUCUUGAAGACACAUAGAAGAGUGCAUCGUGAAGUCCUAUCUCGAGCCAUUAAUUGUGGGAAAAUGAUUGAUGUUACCUACAGAUCCCACGACGGGUACACUCGUCCCAAAGGACAAUUCACAGAGUUUGUCGAAUCAUUGUUUGUCGACUACAUGGAUGCGUCUUUGAUGGUAAGUUAAGGGUUUUGGUUGAAACACUUGGUUCCACUCUAGCUCUUGUGAUGUAGCAUGUAUCUCUUUCUACCUUAUGAGUUUUAUUGAUCAACAUGUAAUAUGCCAAUAAACAGAUCAAUUUAAGCAUAGUUUGUUUAAAUAUAUUUGUUUGGCCCAAAAAAAAAACAAAAAAAAAACAUACAAAAAUGUUUCACUCCAAUUUCCCCAAAUUUCAACAUUCAGCUUCCUUAACCUAUAGAGUGUGAAAAUAAGCAAAAUCAAUCCAUAUAUGACAUUUAUAUUUUCUAUGUCCAACCUAAA
This 16867-nucleotide long non-coding RNA is filed under the name Capsella rubella. RNAcentral's name for it is "long non-coding RNA (CRUB_LNC002938)". Lineage: Eukaryota; Viridiplantae; Streptophyta; Magnoliopsida; Brassicales; Brassicaceae. The record is from RNAcentral.